This 658-nucleotide ribosomal RNA is filed under the name uncultured bacterium. RNAcentral's name for it is "bacterial SSU rRNA". It matches the Rfam family "Bacterial small subunit ribosomal RNA", at positions 93 to 739 of the family's 1533-position model. The record is from RNAcentral.
UAGUGGCGAAAGGGUGAGUAACGAAUAGGUAACGUGCCCUGUGCUCCGGGAUAGCGUCAUUCGCCUUCGGGCGAAUUUCCGAAAGGGGCGGUAAUACCGGAUAAUGUCAUUCGUCAACAGACGUGUGACCAAAGAUUAUUUCGGCAGUGGAGCGGCCUAUUUCCUAUCAGCUUGUUGGUGAGGUAACGGCUCACCAAGGCAACGACGGGUAGCGGGACUGAGAGGUUGGCCCGCCACAUCGGGACUGAGACACUGCCCGGACCUCCACGGAGGGCUGCAGUAACGAAUAUUGGGCAAUGGCGCAAGCCUGACCCAGCGACGCCGCGUGCGGGAUGAAGUCUUUCGGGAUGUAAACCGCUGUCAGGGUGACGAAAGUCCGCUUCGGCGGAUUGAUCGAAGCCAAAGGAAGUCACGGCUAACUUCGUGCCAGCAGCCGCGGUAAGACGAAGGUGGCAAGCGUUGUUCGGAAUCACUGGGCUUAAAGGGCACGUAGGCGGAACAGUAAGCGUUGUGUGAAAUCCCCCGGCUUAACCGGGGAACUGCUCGGCGAACUGCUGUUCUUGAGACAAGCAGGGGUGCGUGGAACUCUUGGUGGAGCGGUGAAAUGCGUAGAUAUCAAGAGGAACGCCGGCGGAGAAAUCGGCGCACUGGGCUUGUU